Molecule: regulatory RNA element, 58 nt
Organism: Erwinia sp.
Lineage: Bacteria; Pseudomonadati; Pseudomonadota; Gammaproteobacteria; Enterobacterales; Erwiniaceae
Rfam family: L31-Gammaproteobacteria ribosomal protein leader
Source: Rfam
CGUGUGGUGUCGUGCAGGAUUGACCUGGCACGAAGAGCGACACGGCCUUCACAGAGGU